AUGUGGAGAGGCAGCGCCACUGCCGCCUCCACCGCGAGGGCUCUCCGCUUGGGCUUGCUCGCUGAUCCCAUCCGCAACCCCUCUACGGUUGUUCUUCCCAUCGCUUCAGCGCGGGCCACCUGCUCGGUACCCUCUGCCACCUCCCCUGCACCAUCCGUUGCUGAAGCGGCGGCCUACUCGGUAGCUGUUUCGUCGGGAGCCAGAUCCGCCUCUGACGUGCUGCGGCACUACAGGUGCUACUGGGAGCUCUCCAAAGCCCGUCUCAGUGCACUUGUUGUGGCAACAACAGGAGCUGGACAUGUGCUCGGGAGUGGCAGCAUUGUAGACAUUGCUGGACUAUGCUACACAUGCACUGGUACCAUGAUGGUUGCAACAUCUGCCAACACUCUCAACCAGGUGUUCGAGAUAAAUAAUGAUGCUAAAAUUAAAAGGACAAUGCGACGGCCCCUACCAUCAGGGCGUAUUAGUCCUGUGCAUGCUGCCAUGUGGGCUACAAGUGUUGGAGUUGCAGAAACAACAUUACUGGCUUGCAAGUCUAAUGGCUUAGCUGCUGGGCUUGUAGCAUCCAAUCUCAUCAUGUAUGCAUUUGUAUACACUCCAUUGAAGCAAAUACACCCUGUCAAUACAUGGGUGGGAGUAGUUGUUGGCGCCAUUCCACCACUUCUAGGGUGGGCAGCAGCAGCAUCUGAAGUGUCACUCAACUCUAUGCUUCUACCUGUUGCUUUGUACUAUUGGCAGUUACCACAUUUCAUGGCCCUUGCGUACUUAUGCCGCGAUGACUACCUUGCUGGAGGGUAA
This 798-nucleotide ribosomal RNA is filed under the name Triticum aestivum (bread wheat). Its description in RNAcentral is "partial small subunit ribosomal RNA". Lineage: Eukaryota; Viridiplantae; Streptophyta; Magnoliopsida; Poales; Poaceae. The record is from RNAcentral.